GAUGAACGCUGGCGGCGUGCCUAAUACAUGCAAGUCGAGCGAACGGACGAGAAGCUUGCUUCUCUGAUGUUAGCGGCGGACGGGUGAGUAACACGUGGAUAACCUACCUAUAAGACUGGGAUAACUUCGGGAAACCGGAGCUAAUACCGGAUGAUAUUUUGAACCGCAUGGUUCAAAAGUGAAAGACGGUCUUGCUGUCACUUAUAGAUGGAUCCGCGCUGCAUUAGCUAGUUGGUAAGGUAACGGCUUACCAAGGCAACGAUGCAUAGCCGACCUGAGAGGGUGAUCGGCCACACUGGAACUGAGACACGGUCCAGACUCCUACGGGAGGCAGCAGUAGGGAAUCUUCCGCAAUGGGCGAAAGCCUGACGGAGCAACGCCGCGUGAGUGAUGAAGGUCUUCGGAUCGUAAAACUCUGUUAUUAGGGAAGAACAUAUGUGCAAGUAACUGUGCACAUCUUGACGGUACCUAAUCAGAAAACCACGGCUAACUACGU
RNAcentral lists this ribosomal RNA (496 nucleotides) under uncultured bacterium. RNAcentral's name for it is "partial 16S ribosomal RNA". It matches the Rfam family "Bacterial small subunit ribosomal RNA", at positions 28 to 506 of the family's 1533-position model. The record is from RNAcentral.